UGGCAGAAAGGCUCCUUAUAGGGCGUAGACAUCCGCUAAGAACGAAUUUUACAAAAUUCGACCCUUAAGGGGGUAAAAAGGGGGUCGGAAGUUUGUAUGAAAGUCCCAUGUUUUUCAAGUAAGAGACUUGAAAUUUAAAAUGUAUACCUUAUAAAUGAUAAGAAGGUGUUCAAAUAAUGAAUCUUUAGAAAUCAACUCCCUUUUGGGGUUAAAACGGGGGAUGGUAGAUUAACUCACUCAUUACGAAAUCUCCGGAACUAUAACAGCUACAAACUUGAAAUUUAGCAGAUAGGUUCCUUAUAGGGCGUAAACAUUCGCUAAGAACUGAUUUUACGAAACUCGACCCUUAAGAGGGUAAAACGGGGGUUGGAAGUUUGUGUGAAAGUCCCAUGUUUUUGAAGUAAGAGACUUGAAAUUUAAAAUGUAUGCUCUAUAGAUGGUGAGGAGGUGUCCAAAUAAUGCAUCGUAAUCUAUAUAUAUAAAAGAGAAAGGUCACUGACUCACUCAUCACGAGAACCCAAAAACUGCUGGAGGGUCCAUCCAUCCAGGAUGGAUAAAGAUGAAAUUUGGCAGAGAGGUAGAUUAUAGUUAGUAGACGUCCGCUAAGAAUGGAUUUUGCGAUAUUCCACCUCUAAGAGGGUUUAAUUGGGUUUGAUAGUUUGUAUGAAACAUAUACAGCAGCUAUAAGUUCGUCGAUAGGUUAUUUAUACUGCAGCCUGAAAAUAAAACUAAGAAUGUGGUGUAUAGAGAGGUUUUAUAAAAACAACUAUUAAAUAAUACUAAAUUGUGCCUUUUAAAAAGUUACUCAGUGUAAUAAGCAUUUCAAGUGACUGAAAUAAAAAAAAUGCGUUAAACAUCUUAUAGUAAUGCAUAUCUUCAUAACCACGCGGAUGUAGUCGCGGGCAACAGUUAGUGUAUUAUAAAACAAUGCCCCCAAAAGUGUAUGUGAUCGAUUUCCUCAAAAUCUACUGAACGGAUUUUCAUGCGGUUCAAGAGGAAGGUUUACGGAACGGCUAAGACGAUUUUGAUGAGAGUUUCACUGGAAGUUUGCCGGUAAAACUUUGUGACACACUGAUUUCAACGCGGGCGAAGCCGCGGGCACAGCUAGUACUAUAUAAAA
RNAcentral lists this unclassified non-coding RNA (1120 nucleotides) under Melitaea cinxia (Glanville fritillary). RNAcentral describes it as "misc RNA ENSMCXG00005012607.1". The record is from RNAcentral. Lineage: Eukaryota; Metazoa; Arthropoda; Insecta; Lepidoptera; Nymphalidae.